This 70-nucleotide transfer RNA is filed under the name Heterocephalus glaber (naked mole-rat). It matches the Rfam family "tRNA". From Rfam's summary of the family: Transfer RNA (tRNA) molecules are approximately 80 nucleotides in length. Lineage: Eukaryota; Metazoa; Chordata; Mammalia; Rodentia; Bathyergidae. The record is from Rfam by way of RNAcentral.
GGGGAUAUAGCUUAGUGGUAGAGCACUUGCCUAGCAUGCUGAAGGCCCUGGGUUCAAUCCCCAGUACCUA